AAGUCGUAACAAGGUAACCGUAGGUGAACCUGCGGUUGGAUCAUUAAUAAAUUUAUUAAAGGUUUGAAUGGGUUUUUAGGGGGUUGUUAAAAAGAUGCCCUAUAAACCUUUUUUCAAACUCUUUAAACAAAUUUGUGAACUUUAUUAAAGUCUUUUGGGGUUAAUAAUUUUUUAUUGACCCCAAUCAUUUUCUAAACAAAUAUUUCUUUAACAAAAAUAUGCCUUUAAAACCUAUUUUUUUUUAUUAAAAAUAAUUUAAUUUAAAAAACAACUUUUGACAACGGAUCUCUUGGCUCUC
RNAcentral lists this unclassified non-coding RNA (298 nucleotides) under fungal sp. RNAcentral's name for it is "partial internal transcribed spacer region". The stretch from base 1 to 46 matches the Rfam family "Eukaryotic small subunit ribosomal RNA", at positions 1786 to 1831 of the family's 1831-position model. Lineage: Eukaryota; Fungi. The record is from RNAcentral.